GACGGAGGAUGCAAGUGUUAUCCAGAAUCACUGGGCGUAAAGCGUCUGUAGGUGGUUUAAUAAGUCAACUGUUAAUCUUGAGGCUCAACCUCAAAAUCGCAGUCGAAACUAUUAGGCUAGAGUAUAGUAGGGGUAAAGGGAAUUUCCAGUGGAGCGGUGAAAUGCGUAGAGAUUGGAAAGAACACCGAUGGCGAAGGCACUUUACUGGGCUAUUACUAACACUCAGAGACGAAAGCUAGGGUAGCAAAUGGG
Molecule: ribosomal RNA, 252 nt
Filed under: uncultured bacterium
Lineage: Bacteria
Description: partial 16S ribosomal RNA
Rfam family: Bacterial small subunit ribosomal RNA
Source: RNAcentral